This 125-nucleotide small nucleolar RNA is filed under the name Chinchilla lanigera (long-tailed chinchilla). RNAcentral describes it as "Small nucleolar RNA SNORA25 (ENSCLAG00000018578.1)". Lineage: Eukaryota; Metazoa; Chordata; Mammalia; Rodentia; Chinchillidae. The record is from RNAcentral.
AGGUCAUUUCCAAGAAGGCUUAUGUGGCUGUGAAAUAAGAAGCUUUUAGCACUAUGAGCAAGGUUUAAUCUCUCCAUAAAUACCAUAGUAACUCAAUGGUGCUCUUUUUCUGAGGAGAUACAAGA